This 164-nucleotide non-coding RNA is filed under the name bovine gut metagenome. The record is from RNAcentral.
UUUUUGCAAACACGAAGGUGAAAAGGGAAUCAGGUGAAAGACCUGAACUGUUUCCGCAGCUGUAAGUUCCGUAUCGUUCUUUUGCAAAACCCUGUAUCACUGUUCGUUAGAACGGGAAGAUGGCAAAAGAAUGGAACAAGUCAGAAGACCUGCCAACUCUGAUA